Pipra filicauda (Wire-tailed manakin) is the source of this 2818-nucleotide long non-coding RNA. RefSeq lists it as uncharacterized. Lineage: Eukaryota; Metazoa; Chordata; Aves; Passeriformes; Pipridae. The record is from RefSeq and is a predicted model, not a curated record. The transcript has 10 exons.
GGUUUUUUUUCAUGAAAGGGUGGAACUUUCCUUUCAAAAAGAUGAAAUGCAUAAUAAUAAUAAUAAUAAAAUAGCAGACUUGUUGAGGCAAACACAUUGAAGUCAUUCAGAAAAAUAACUGCAUGACAUCAUGGGAGAAAGAUAGAACCAAAAAAGGACAAGUUUUGUAGGCCAAAUAGCUUCUAUUCAUCCCCAAAGAAUUUGUCCUACACACACAAGGAUGGGGAGAAAGAAAGAAAGAAAUAAAACCUUCAUCCUUGGAAACUCACAAAACACAAAUAUGUUGUCCCAGAUAGAAAAGGUCAAAAAAGUAAAAAAAUAAAAUAAAGCCAUGACUCUAAUCAGGAAUGCUCACUGAGAAAUACUGACUUGUGCUUAAAAAAGCAGAGCUGAAAGUUCCUCCCAGUAAUCCAAAGAACUUGUGAAUCACUGUAUGCUCUUGUUAUCUUACAUUUUCAGCAAACUAGUAUUUGCAUAUAAAAGGAUGAUUUUUGACACAUUUUUCUAUCUUGAUUGCUCAGAGCUGCAGGAGGAGUUUUCCACCCUUACGAAUUCAGCAAGGUGAUUCCCAGGCACUUGCUUGGCACUGGGAAAUGUCAGAGGCACGAGCUGCUCCCCAGGCUGAUCUGUGCCCUAGAGCUUGUCCUGCUCUGAGGCACAUAAUGGUGGUGUCUGCACUGACCCACCUAGUUCAGGAGGAAAUGAAGCAUUUGGGUUCAGAAGGCUUCCAGGACCAAAGCACUACAUAAUCUCAGAAUGAAGGAGCUGCUCUUGUUGAGAAGAAAAGAGAACAACGAAGAAAAAGGUGUCAGAAGUUUACAAAAGCAGGAAGAGAGAAAUUAAAACAAAUCCUGUGUAAGCUGGUUUGAGUUGAGCAUUUCGCAACCGAUGUGGUUAAAAGUUCCCCGAUGAUUUUGACUGUGCCUUGGGCGUGUCGUGUAAUGGACCCACACAUACACAUGAUUAAUUAACUGCCAGUUAAGUACAGAACUUAUUUUCUCCAAAUAUAAAAUAUAGUUCUAUCCUGCCACGCUGUGCCACACUUAAAAGACUCUUUGAGGAAUUUACUCAAUCUUUAUUUAGAUGUGUUAAUCCUGGUAAAAAUGCAAAAAUAUUUUUGGUAGCUAAGCUUAAUGAGGUAAUAAUUACUCAUUCUUGUUUAACUUCUGCUAGAUUUAGUAUCUAAAUUUGGGACACGAAUAUAAAAUCUUUCCUGUGCCCACAUUUCCAGUUUUAAAGUACUUAGAAGAAUCCAGACUUAUUCCAGCAAUUUUCUGUACUAUAAAUCCAGAAUGAAUAUUCUGUUUCCACUUUCAAGUGUUAAAAAAUAAUUUCUUUUUUUCUUUCUAAGGUCUUUAUCUUAUUUAUUUCUAACAGAAUACUCAUUUAAUCACAUGGCAUUUGUGAUGACUUCUUAGUAGUGUGUACUGUUGCAGAGGUUCUAAGUUUGCAGAGUAGAGGCUUACUCUUAGUCUGGUUCUCUUACAAUUUUCUAUAUUAAAUAUGAGAAAAAAGCUCUUUCUGAACUGAAAUCAUGGGCAUUAUUUAUAACUUAAUUUAGAUCCGUGUAAUGUAGAAAGUAAGCAAAUUUGUUUCCAGUUUUUCACAUUGAUAAUUUUCAGUCUGUUUUCUAUUUUUCAUAAUCUUUUUAAUGUGUUGUCUUCCAUUAGCUGAGUUGUAUUAUUGCCAUUCACAACAUCAAGCCACAUGAGAGUGAGAAAUAGAGGACGGAAAGGAAAAGACUGUGGUGUAUGGAAUCUGUGAAUUCCACCAGUGCCCUUAAACUCCACAAACCGAGUGAGGUUCCAGAGUACCCUGCAGCAAACCUGGAUCAGAGAACAGCUAUUUGCUGAAUCUUUCCUAAAUAGUACUGGGGUGGCAGGUGUGUGAAAGGUGACAAGAAUUCGAGGCCAAAGUUUGAAAUGUUCGUGCACUGCGAAGGAAAUAAUUUUCAUGGCCUACACCAAAUCCCUUGAUCCAGUGGACUGAUGAUCAUUAGCAUCCUGCUUUCUUCACGCCCCAGUCAAGGUAGAAUGGGAAAAUACAGUUUUCUGCUCUCUGUGAAAAGAGCACGUGUUCAGAAAGAACCUGACUUUUGCUCUGGCCUGGAUGUAUAGAAGUAGUUUUGUAUGCAAGAAUCAGCUGUUGAAGCCUACAAGUUAUGCAGGUCCAGUGAAUUCAGUGGAGAUCCUUCUGACUGACAGCAGCAUCCAGGCACCUACUGACUGACAGAGCUGUGUGCAGUUUGGGUGAUUUGAAAUAGGCCUUUGAUUACAAAAGAAAGCUUUAAUACAAACAGCAGCAGCAUCAAAGCAAAAAUCUGGAUUUUGCUGACCUUAAUUGGCAUUUUAACAGUAGCAAUCCAUAACAAAUAGAAAUGCCCCUUCAGUGCAAUUACUGCAUUCACUUAUUUUUCUUGACACAUGGGGGCCAAUCCUGAAACAUCCCGAAUGGAUUUUUCUCAGCCUUUCCUAAAGCCCUUCAUAUGGGCCUUGUUGUAGAUGACAGAACACAUUUUGUCCUUUGUGUGUGUGUGUUUUGUUUUAAUUCUUAUCCUGACCUACAAACAAAAGAAAAGUUUUACUUAUAAAAAUCAGUGUUUAGAGACUAUUUUAUAUCGGUUCCUAUAGAAAGGCCAUGAUUUCAGUAAAAGGAUUCGGUCUGUCUGACUGAAGCUUAGAUACUUUAAACAGCAAAAAUGCAUCAAUACUACUUUACACUGGUGAAUUGUAGUCUCCUUCAUUAACAGCUAAAUUAAAAUAUUACAGCAGUAUUAACUGAAAGAUCAAAAUAGUUUUGUUUAAAGAUUUUCACGUGC